Podarcis lilfordi (Lilford's wall lizard) is the source of this 9042-nucleotide non-coding RNA. NCBI's taxonomy places the organism in Eukaryota, Metazoa, Chordata, Lepidosauria, Squamata, Lacertidae. The record is from the annotation of a GenBank genome assembly.
AACCUGAAGCACUAUUUCUGAGUUAGCGGAGUAUGUAACCUGAAGCGCAUGUAACCUGAAGCAUAUGUAACCUGAGGUACCACUGUAUUUCCAUCAGAAAAAUGUUGGAGGGUAUGCUAUCCCAGAAGCUGGACAGGAGUAGGAGCAUCCCUAUUGGUUCUGCUGACUCUCUUACCAGCUUUCAAUACCAUUGGCCACUGCAUGCUAUGUGCCAGCAGAGAUAGGAAUUGAAGGCAUUGUUUUAUAGUGGUUCUAAUCCACCUUGGAGAGUAGGUUUCAGGUGGUGAUAACGGCUUACUGUUUGACACCAUGGCCUUUGGCUUAGUGAGUUCCACAGAGUUUCAUCUUGUCCCUCAUCUUGUUUAACAUCUUCAUGAAACCAUUGGGAUGGUGUCAUUGGAAGGGAAAGCCCUGCCAGCCUUCUCAUGUCUUCAGGAGCUCUAGUCCUUUCCUGAGACAACUUCCUGCUUCAGAAGCUGGUGAAGCUAAAGAGGGUAUACUGUAUACAUAUUUCUAAUAAGUGAAUGAAAAAUUAAUGUACCAGCCAUCCCAGUGAAAUCCCAGCAAGAACCAUGAUACUAGUAUACGGUAAGUGAUUUAAGGAACUGGGACACAGAAUCUUUCAGAGCCAUUUUGUAUGUACUACAGUGGUUUGGUUGGAGGUUGUUAUUUGGAGUUCUCAAAACAGCAAUGUCAUAUUAGAUUUAUUUAUGCCGGAACAGAAUCCCCAAGUUGCUUUUGAAACAUAAAGUGUGUGGCAGAAAGUACAGGGAGGGGUCUUGGAGUGAGUUAUUAAAAAAUAAAUAGCAGUACAGUGGUACCUCAAGGUCCCCUAGAUUUAGAGGCCUGAGUUGUCCUGCCCUCACAUGAAGUUUUGUGUUUGCAAUUUUGGGAGAGGGGAGACUGCCUGCUGGGGAGCGGGAGGGCUGGCGAGGCCCCCUAGAUUUAGAGGCCCUAGGCUUCAGCCUGCUUAGCCUAUACAUAAAUCCGGCACUGCCUAGCCUCAUGGGAUGCCACAAAAGUGUUGGGCAGCAGCCAUUUUUUGUCCGCAACAAACAGAAAAACCAUUGUGAUCUUGCAACGCACUAAAGCAAUGGGUACCUUGUUAGACAUUUCUCCCUGAGCACCUGGCCCUAGUUUUAUUUGAUUCACUGCAUGGGGCUCUUGAACGUUCAGGUGAACCCAAGGAGGAAUUUGUUCAUAUUAAUUCCGACAAGGGAGUUCUGAAAACAAAACUGUAUCUUGAAUCUAUGUGCUGGUCCCGGGGGUAAGGUACCUUGGGUGUAGCAGAGUCCACACGAAGAGGGGCAAGGUCCGAGGCAGAGAGCCGGGCGGGGAACAGGAAUGCUGGAACAGGAGGCUGUGCAGGGAACAGGAACACCGGAUGGUCGGGAACAGGAGGCCGAGCAGGGAACAGGAGUACCGGAUAGUCAGGAACAGGAAGCCGAGCAGGGAUCAGGAACACAGGAAGGUCCGAAGCCAACAACGACGUUGCUCCCGCAACCUGGGGCCGGGCUGACUGGGCUUUUAUCCUCUUCUAAGGCCAGGGCGGUCCCGGUCCCCAGGAGCCCCGCCUCCUCUGGCCUUAAGGCGAGCACUCCUCCUGGGGGCAACCAGUUCCCUUCGCCUCUCUGCCCUAAGCCUCUGCAGAUCAGGAGAGGCCGAAGGGUUACUGGGCCCUGGAGGAGGCUCACCUGUGGCCACUGAGUCAUCAAGCCCCUCUGGGGCCCGAAGGGCUUCACCUGGGGCCAGCUCCUGAUGCACUGCCACAGGUGCAGGCUCUUCAGCAUCAAGGCCUUGCCCCAGUUCAGCCGGCCCUGGAGGCGGGGACUCCUGUGCAGGCCGGGAUUCCUCUGUUUCAUCCUCCGAAUCGGAAUCCCAGGCCAUCACACCAUCCCCCUCCCAGGCCCCCUCAACCGAGGGUCCGGACCCGGCUUGCCGGGAUACGUCGCAUGGAACUCUCGGAGGCAGGCAGGUGCAUGGACAUUGGCCGCUGGUUCCCAGGAACGGUCCUCCGGUCCGUACCCCUUCCAGUCAAUGAGAUACUGCAGCUUUCCCUGCGGUAUCGGGAGUCCAGGAUGCGUUCCACCUCGUACUCAGGCUCUCCCCGAACCAACACUGGCUGCGGUCGGGGACGGUUCUGGUGGAACUCGUCGGGUGGGGCCACCGGACUCAAAAGGGACCUGUGGAAGACCGGGUGAACCUUCAGGGUUGCGGGUAACCGGAGACGGAAUGCCACAGGAGAGAUUUGGUCUACGAUAGGGAACGGGCCGGUGAAGCGGGCGUCCAACUUCCGCGAAGGUCGAGAGGGGUGGAGGUGGCGAGUGGAGAGCCAAACCAGGUCACCGACGCGAGUUCCGGCCCCACCUGGCGGUGGCGGUCGGCCUGGGCUUUGUACGCUUCCUUGGCCUGGUGCAGUUGCUCCACCAAAAGCUGUUGCUGGGACUGGAGCUCUUGAAGCCACUCCGUCACCGCCGGGACCGCGGAUGCCGGCAGCACCUCUGGAAACAGCCGUGGAUGAUAACCAUAACUGGCCUGGAACGGGGUCUGCUGGGUGGACGCAUUCACCGCGUUGUUAUAGGCGAACUCCGCCAAUGCCAGGUGGUCGACCCAGUCAUCCUGCUGGUAGCUGCAGUAACACCGGAGGUACUGCUCCAGCACCGCGUUCGCCCGGUCCGUCUGGCCAUCGGUCUGUGGGUGGUAGGCUGACGAGAGGCAGACCUCUGUCCCGAGGGUCUGGUGUAAUGCUCGCCAGAACCGGGAUGUGAACUGAACGCCCCGGUCGGACACCACGCGCUCAGGUAGUCCAUGCAGGCGGAAGACAUGCUGAAGGUACAGCUGAGCAGUUUCCUUGGCUGUGGGUACAGAUGGACAGGGAGCGCAGUGCACCAUCUUGGUGAAAUGGUCGGAGAAAACCAGAAGGCAGGUACAGCCACGAGACGAGGGUAAGUCCACUACAAAGUCCAACGAAACUGUGUGCCAAGGGCGCGGUGGAACUGGCAAUGGCUGAAGUAGGCCGGGGGUCGCCCGGUAGGCCCCUUGGCGCGUCGGCAGACAUCACAACCAGCAACGUAGCGAGCCACGUCAGCCUUCAGGCGGGGCCACCAAAACUCACGACUGACCAGAUGGGUGGUCCGAUACCGUCCAAAGUGCCCCGCUGCCGGGGCAUCAUGGGCCAUCCGGAGAACCUCCAGCCGCAGUGGCCCUGGCGGGAUGUACAGACGACCGUGGUGCAGCAGGAGGCCCUGAUGCAGGACCAGCCCCGGAUACUGUGGGCUGGACCCUUCAGCCAGCUCCCGGAGUCGUUCCUGGGCCCAAGCGUCGACCCGCUGCUGUUCCCGCACCCGAACCUGCAGUGGCUGCGCCUCCUGGGUGGCCAGGAAUGCGGCCGGAGGUAGGAUCGUGGCGGGUUCUGCUUGCUGUACCGUGUCUGCGUUGUCUUCAGGUUUCCGGGACAGGGCAUCCGCCUUCAGAUUCUGAGAGCUAGGGAUGUAGCGGAUCCGAAACUGGAACCGGGAAAAGAACAACGCCCACCGGAUCUGUCUUUGGUUCAGCUUGCGGGUGGUCUGGAGGUACUUCCAGGUUCCGGUGGUCGGUUCUUACCUCCACCGGAUGUCGUGCCCCUCAAGAUGGUGGCGCCAGACCUCAAAGGCUACCUUGAUGGCCAGUAGUUCCCGCUCCCACACAGUAUAGUUACGCUCCGCUGGUAGGAGCUGGCGGGAAUAGAAGGCACAGGGUAAGAGUGGCGCUUCGGGCCCAAUCUGUUGAGACAAGACGGCACCGAGAGCCGUACUGGAGGCGUCGGUCUCCACCACAAAGGGUCGAGAGGGGUCAGGAUGUUGUAAGAUUGGUGCCCUCUGGAAACAGGCCUUCAACCCCUGAAACGCCUCCUCUGCCUCCUUGUCCCAGGAAAACGGCGUCUUUGGGCGCAGUAGCCGGGUCAACGGGGUGGUGCGAUGAGCAUAAUCAGCGAUGAAGGUCCGGUAGUAAUUGGCGAACCCCAGGAAACGUUGUAGGUCCUUGCGGUUCCGGGGUGCCGCCCAUUCUUGAACCGCUGUCACCUUCCCCGGGUCCAUUUGCACCCCAUCCGGAGAGAGCCGGUGACCAAGGAAGUCCACAGUCCGCUGAUGGAACUCGCACUUGCUGAGCUUUGCGUACAAACGGUGCUCACGCAAGCGCUGCAGCACGGUCCGGACAUGUCCCUCAUGGCGAGCCGGGUCACGGGAGUAAAUCAGUAUGUCAUCCAAAUACACCACCACGUACUUGUCUAACAAGUCCUGAAACACGUGGUUGAUGUAGCGUUGGAACACAGCAGGCGCGUUGCACAACCCGAAAGGCAUAACCAAAUAUUCGAACUGCCCGUACCGGGUCCCAAACGCUGUCUUCCACUCAUCCCCGGCUCGGAUCCGAAUCAAGUUGUAGGCCCCCCGGAGGUCCAGCUUGGUGAACACCUGUGCCCCUUGCACCCGCUCCAGCAGCUCCGAGAUAAGGGGCAAGGGGUAUCGGUCUGGGACGGUAAUUUUGUUCAAGGCUCGGUAAUCAUGGCAAGGGCGGAGUUCCCCACAUUUCUUCUUAACGAAAAGCACUGGUGCCGCGGUAGGCGAGGUGGACGGCCUAAUGAACCCACGCUCCAGGUUCUUGCGCAAGAAGUCCUGCAAAGCCUCGCGCUCUGGCUCUGUUAGAGAAUAUAAGCGACUCACUGGUAGAGGCGCUCCGGGUUGGAGGUCUAUGCCGCAGUCAAAAGGCCGAUGCGGCGGCAGCUGGUCUGCCCCCCGUUCCUCGAACACGUCCUGGUAGUCCUGAUACACGGCUGGGAGCGUGGGUGCUGCCUCCUCUGAGGGCGCGGCCGCCAGCGUCCCGGAUUGAGCAUGGGAACAUGGGUCUGGGAAGUGCACGGUCCGUUUGACCCAGUGAAUCUGAACGUUGUGGGCUUCCAGCCAGUCCAUCCCGAGCACCAGGGGGAAGCGGGGCAUAGAGGCAAUGUCCAAAGUUCGCAACUCCCGGUGCUGCUGGAAACACAGGACCAGGGGCUGGGUCUCCUGAGUAACGGCACCUGAACACAGAAGUCGUCCGUCAAUCGCUUCCACCUGGACCGGUACUGGAUUGUUCCUAAGUGGCACCUGAUGAUGGGCGGCAAAAGCAGCGUCCAUAUAAGAGCGGGUUGCCCCUGAAUCCACCAAAGCAUGGGUGGGGAUCCAGGGCCCACCUGGAGGGUAUAAACGUACCGGAACCAUAAGAUGUUGCGAGUCCAUUGAUGCAGGCCCAUUCUGCGCGGUUUGGGACCCCCGGCAGCUAGGGCCAUCAGCUACUGGGGUUGGCGGCUUCCUGCGGCUGGCGUUUCUCAGGGCAAGACCAAGCGAAGUGUCCACUUCCGCCACAGUAAAGACAGAGAUUUCCCUCCCGACGCCGCGCCUUCUCUGCGGGGAAAGCCGCGGCCGCACAGCCCCGACCUGCAUCGGCUCCUCCGUGACCUCCGCUGUGACCAUGGGGCUGCCGGAAAAGCUGGUGCCGUGAACUGGAAGUGUCGGCGACCCCGGGCCUGACGACGAUCCUCCAACCGGUCGUCUAUUUGUAGACUCCGUUGAAUGAGAGUGUCUAGCGUGGUGGGGCGUUCCAUUGUGGCCAACUGGUCCAGUACCUCGUCCGAAAGCCCUUCGAGAUACUGGUCCCGCAGUGCCGAAUCAUUCCAGGUCAAGUCCUGUGCCAACAGCCGAAACUCCGUGGUAUAUGCGGCCACCGUGGACUUGCCCUGUUUCAAACGCCGAAUCGCCCGGUUGGCUUGACUCCCUUUCUGGGGGUUGCCGAACGCGGCCUCCAAACGAUUGCAAAACCCCGUAUAGUCUGCCAGCAAGGGGGAGUCUUGCCUGAGUAGCGGCAACGCCCACUUGGCCGCCUGGUCCUUUAACAAACUAAUCAAAAAGUGCACCUUGGUGCGGUCGUCAGGAAAGUUCCGGGCUCGCCCCUGAAUAUACAGCUUGGCCUGGGCCAGGAACAUGGGAAAGCUGGCCGGGGCUCCAUCAAAUUUCUCAGGCAAAGCCACUGGGUACUUGCCAGGAGCCGGGCGUCGGCCCCAGGAGCCGGUAGGGCUUCCAAGCGUUGUUGAAGUGCCACAACCGCGUCACUGAGCUGCUGCACGGUGUGAGUCAAGGCCUGGUUCUUCUGGGCCAAAGCCACCAGUGCAGCCGCCUGGUCAGCCAUGGCCUCUGGCUCUUCCCGAACGCACCCCUACGAAGGGGGAGUGCGGGUUUGGCGGGAGCAAACUGUGCUGGUCCCGGGGUAAGGUACCUUGGGUGUAGCAGAGUCCACACGAAGAGGGGCAAGGUCCGAGGCAGAGAGCCGGGCGGGGAACAGGAAUGCUGGAACAGGAGGCUGUGCAGGGAACAGGAACACCGGAUGGUCGGGAACAGGAGGCCGAGCAGGGAACAGGAGUACCGGAUAGUCAGGAACAGGAAGCCGAGCAGGGAUCAGGAACACAGGAAGGUCCGAAGCCAACAACGACGUUGCUCCCGCAACCUGGGGCCGGGCUGACUGGGCUUUUAUCCUCUUCUAAGGCCAGGGGCGGUCCCGGUCCCCAGGAGCCCCGCCUCCUCUGGCCUUAAGGCGAGCACUCCUCCUGGGGGCAACCAGUUCCCUUCGCCUCUCUGCCCUAAGCCUCUGCAGAUCAGGAGAGGCCGAAGGGUUACUGGGCCCUGGAGGAGGCUCACCUGUGGCCACUGAGUCAUCAAGCCCCUCUGGGGCCCGAAGGGCUUCACCUGGGGCCAGCUCCUGAUGCACUGCCACAGGUGCAGGCUCUUCAGCAUCAAGGCCUUGCCCCAGUUCAGCCGGCCCUGGAGGCGGGGACUCCUGUGCGGGCCGGGAUUCCUCUGUUUCAUCCUCCGAAUCGGAAUCCCAGGCCAUCACAAUCUAUAUAUAUACUCCUGUUUUGCUGUUUACAGGCCAUUAAACUGCAAAGGGAACAAUGCCAGAGGCCUUGUUGCUUUAUGUAAUCCUGAUUAUAACAGAAUGGAAACCCGGUGUAAACAAACCUGAAAACCUAUAUAAUUUUUUUGUACAUUAAACCUCUGGAGGAUAUUCUGCUUAAUGUAAGAAGCUGCCUUAGACCAAGUCAGACCAGUGAUCUAGCCAGAUCAGUAUCUUCUUCACUGAUUGGCAGUGGCCCUCCAGAGUUUCAGAAACGGGACAGUCCUAUCCCUACAUGGAGAAGCUGGAGAUUGAACCCAGGACAUUUUUCAUGCAAUGCAGCGGCUCUAACACUGAGCCACAACCCCUCCUUUCGUGACUAGUUUGCGCAAAUUGUGGAACUUGAGUUAAAAUGCUUUUUAAGCCCAGAACUGAAAGAGUACCUUUAAACUAACCUACAGUAUACAUAGUCAUAUUAAUGGUGAGUGAGUGUGGUAGAGCCCUAAUGUGUAAUUUUGUCACUGACCAGAAGGAGAAAAAGUGGCAUAUUCUGCUUUGACACUGUGAGAUAUCACACUGCUCAGAGCCAGCUGGCAUCUCUGCAGCAUGAUCAGCCACAAGAAAGGCUGGAAAUGAUGUGUAGGUGUCUACAUGGUGGGGCUGGGCAGAGAAAUCCUAAGAACAACUUCUAAUCUAGGGUUAAAGUCAGAGAGGCAGUGGAAAGGACGGUGGAUCCUGUGACCCUAGAUCAGGAUAGGAAUUCAGAGAGGGUCUUCAUACCUGACCUGCCAGCAGGUAUAUGGAAGUUCCAUGUCCUACUGUCUUCCAGACCUGCCUUACCUGCUGGCCUGCAGCCAAGGUUGGUGGGCUGAUGUUAAUUCCAUCCUCACAAACCAUCUCUAACCGUUACUUGCCUAUGGAGACAUGUUGCCUGCCAGAAUCUGAUAGCAUGGGGUGCUGAGGGACCUGAGCAUUAGAGCCAUGCUGUGCUGCCAGUGUCGCACGGAGUUUGGUACUCCUUGUUAGUCCUGACAGCCUCAUGAAUGGAGAUAUGAUAGCACUCUUCAAAUACCUGAAGCGACGUUACAUGUUAGAGAACAAUGAGCUGCCCCAACGGGAAAAACUAGGGGCCCCUCCAGACUGGUGUUUUACUGUGGGUAGACUCUGCAACUUUCUCUUGACGCAACAGUGUGUUAGAAGUGGAUUUUUUGCUGUAUGACAGGUUCUGAAGGUGCAAAUAGUACUGGAAGUAGAAUCACCUUGAUAGCACAUAUAAGCGCAAAUCAUCAGGAAUGUGCAAUACAUUGGUUGUCUGGAGGGGUCCUAGGUCUAAUGGAUUUAAGUUAGGGGGGGUAGAUUUUGGUUGAGCAUUAAGGGAAACCUCAUAAUGCAAAGGGCAAUUUGACAAUGGACCCAAUUACCGAGAUAGGUGAUCGUGUGCUCUUCCUUGCAGGAGGCCUUUUGCAAAGGCAGGACUAUACUGUACUAUCUCGUGGGGCUGCCCCAGACCUGGGUUUCCAGCAGGGGGCUUGGAAUAGAUGACCUACAAGACCUCUUCCAACUCAAGGAGAAGAGAUUAAAAAUGAAAACAGCACUGUGCAAAACCAGUGUUGCUGAAAGGCUGUUUAACACAAAGCUUCAGGCAAACAAUGUACUCACACAAGUACUUGCAACCAGUGAUUCAUCAUUAUAUAAAGCACUUAGUCUGAAGACAGACAGAAGAUUUUAAGAGAGUGGUAUGAAAGAAGAAUUGCUUCCUAAGGAGUUUACAUAAAUAUUUCUUACACCUCUAGCUGCAAUUCCUCUUUCAUGACCCCUUCAACUCUCUGGCAAUACCCCCCCCAUAUCUGUCCAUCUUCUCCAGCCUGACUGCUGACCCUCUUAGUACAUUACAUCUAAUAAUAGCCUAGCCACCCAUUGCUCAUGUGCAUCUGAUGCUGGGGCAGGGUGCUAGGUCAGCACCUGACAAAGGAAUAAUGGUCAAAAGUCUGUCUCUGCAAGGAAUGUGGAAAAGUUGGCUUCUAAAGAUAACAGACAAAGGAUGCUUUGCUCAAAGAGUUCAGCCUGUCUUUUCCUUGCAGGCUUAAAUAACAUAAAUGAUAACGAUAACAGCAUUUUGCAUUUGUAUUGUGCUUUGGAGAG